AGAGUUUGAUCAUGGCUCAGGAUGAACGCUAGCGGGAGGCCUAACACAUGCAAGCCGAGCGGUAUUGUUUCUUCGGAAAUGAGAGAGCGGCGUACGGGUGCGGAACACGUGUGCAACCUGCCUUUAUCUGGGGGAUAGCCUUUCGAAAGGAAGAUUAAUACCCCAUAAUAUAAGAAACGGCAUCGUUUUUUAUUGAAAACUCCGGUGGAUAGAGAUGGGCACGCGCAAGAUUAGAUAGUUGGUGAGGUAACGGCUCACCAAGUCUACGAUCUUUAGGGGGCCUGAGAGGGUGAUCCCCCACACUGGUACUGAGACACGGACCAGACUCCUACGGGAGGCAGCAGUGAGGAAUAUUGGACAAUGGGUGAGAGCCUGAUCCAGCCAUCCCGCGUGAAGGACGACGGCCCUAUGGGUUGUAAACUUCUUUUGUAUAGGGAUAAACCUACUCUCGUGAGAGUAGCUGAAGGUACUAUACGAAUAAGCACCGGCUAACUCCGUGCCAGCAGCCGCGGUAAUACGGAGGGUGCAAGCGUUAUCCGGAUUUAUUGGGUUUAAAGGGUCCGUAGGCGG
RNAcentral lists this ribosomal RNA (570 nucleotides) under uncultured bacterium. RNAcentral's name for it is "bacterial SSU rRNA". It matches the Rfam family "Bacterial small subunit ribosomal RNA", at positions 8 to 578 of the family's 1533-position model. The record is from RNAcentral.